This is a long non-coding RNA of Lutra lutra (Eurasian river otter), 1114 nucleotides long. RefSeq lists it as uncharacterized. NCBI's taxonomy places the organism in Eukaryota, Metazoa, Chordata, Mammalia, Carnivora, Mustelidae. The transcript has 3 exons. The record is from RefSeq and is a predicted model, not a curated record.
CGUGAUCACAACCUUUUCCGGCGGUCUGGUGAGAGAGAGCGUUGCCUCGGAGACGCGGCGGUAACCUAGGACCAAUCCUUCAAGAAAAUCGCUGUCUGGAGGAGGUGGAAAAAUGACUGUGGGGUUAAUGGAACAUUGUACCAAAGAGAUGCCAAGGGAACUUGGGUGGGAAGGACAGCCUGGAUAAGCGGAUGUCGAAUAAAGACGUUUUAUCGAGGGACGUGAGGCGUCGGUGGAACUGACUAACUGAAUCUCAGCCAGAAAUGUCGGGCUGCACUCAAAGGCCUCAGAUCUAGGUCUUCUCUUUUCCUCACUGGUCUAGUGCCUCGCCCGCUGCAAGGCAGCGAUUAGACUUUAGAGUUGCGGGGUGUUGGUAACGUCUCUGUAGCUUUGCCUCCCGCACUUAGAGUUUUAGCUAGGUUCUAUUGAGAGAGCUGGUUCUGCCCAGUGAACUAAAAGGUACUAUGGACAGCUAGAGCAAGCAUUACAAAAGACCGUCUGUGGAGAAAACCUCCUUUCCCCGUCCGCUCCCCCACGAAUGUAAACUGCUCUCAGGAUUUAGGAAUUAAGCAUUUUGCUUUUCCGAGGCUACAAACAGUUGUAAUUUUUUCUUUUUCCUGGUGCAUCUAAGUCACUUAGUGUCUUUAAAGUCUAGUGAUACUGUUCAAGAUUGACAUCCUAGUUGAACAACUAAGAGGACUUCUGAACAGAGUCCUUUACUACCUGUUUUCAUGGGCUCCAUGGGCUCUUCGGGCAAAGUCCUUCUCCCUAGACUCGAUCGAGCCUUCCAUGGAUUCUUCCUGUGUCCCUACUUCCCCACUGGACGUCCAGGAUUCUGAGGGCUUUCAGAAGAGAAUCUUGACACACGAUUCUUAAUCAACCAGACGCGACCCUUUCUUUGAAGCGAUAACGUCAUUCAUUGGGUUGGCCAGGAACAGAUGAUCCUCCUUCUGAAGUAUAGUCAGAAGACCAAUAGUAGCCUAAUGCUUCAUCACGAUGCCUAUGGCAUUUAUCUCACUUUAUCUCAUCAUGUAGGACUUUUAUCACCUCACAUCCUCUCAAGAAGAAGGCUAAUGAUGUCUUUCACACAUCAUUGCAUCUAUUCGUUGGAAAC